RNAcentral lists this unclassified non-coding RNA (348 nucleotides) under uncultured fungus. Its description in RNAcentral is "sequence contains ITS1". The stretch from base 1 to 97 matches the Rfam family "5.8S ribosomal RNA", at positions 50 to 154 of the family's 154-position model. The record is from RNAcentral. Lineage: Eukaryota; Fungi.
GAAAUGCGAUACGCAAUGCGAAUUGCAGAAUCCGCGAGUCAUCAGAUCUUUGAACGCAAUUGGCGCCGAUCGUAUCGGCAUGUUUGUUUCAGUGUGGAAGGAAUCACAAAUCAUAAUGCGAUUGAAAAAAAUUUAUUUUUCUCUCGUUAAACACGUCCGGUGUCUGUGAGAAUAUCAUGGGAACACCCACGAACGAAGUAGUCUCAUUUAUGAGAUCUCGUUUGUAAAGGGUAAAAUAAAAAUCUCUGUAUUCACUAAAAGCAGGCUCCAAAAAAACAAAAACUAAAAAAAGUAACAUUUUUUUCUCUCUUACACCUGAAAUCAAGCAAGACGACCCGCUGAACUUAA